Molecule: non-coding RNA, 74 nt
Organism: Salmo salar (Atlantic salmon)
Lineage: Eukaryota; Metazoa; Chordata; Actinopteri; Salmoniformes; Salmonidae
Source: Rfam
GUCUCUGUGGCGCAAUCGGCUAGCGCGUUAGACUGUUAAUCUAAAGGUUGGUGGUUCGAGCCCACCCAGGGACG